RNAcentral lists this unclassified non-coding RNA (84 nucleotides) under Bacillus sp. OV166. Lineage: Bacteria; Bacillati; Bacillota; Bacilli; Caryophanales; Bacillaceae. The record is from RNAcentral.
AAACGCGGAUGACGGGAAACUGUCACGUUCCGUGUGGAGCAGGGGAAAAGCUGGAGAUAACAUCAAAUGCUUACUUAUUGCUAA